This 74-nucleotide transfer RNA is filed under the name Caudoviricetes sp. RNAcentral's name for it is "tRNA-Asp". It matches the Rfam family "tRNA". Rfam says of the family: Transfer RNA (tRNA) molecules are approximately 80 nucleotides in length. Their secondary structure includes four short double-helical elements and three loops (D, anti-codon, and T loops). The record is from RNAcentral. Lineage: Duplodnaviria; Heunggongvirae; Uroviricota; Caudoviricetes.
GGCCCAUUGGUGAAGAAGAGUAUCACGCUUGCCUGUCACGCAAGAGGACACCAGUUCAAGUCUGGUAUGGGUCG